Anneissia japonica is the source of this 250-nucleotide long non-coding RNA. RefSeq lists it as uncharacterized. Lineage: Eukaryota; Metazoa; Echinodermata; Crinoidea; Comatulida; Comatulidae. The transcript is spliced from 2 exons. The record is from RefSeq and is a predicted model, not a curated record.
UGGUCAUCAUAUUAGUGAUGUUUCUAGAAGAGUGCGAUUGUGUCCUGUUUAUGAGUAUUUGAGGCUAGCUAUGGUUGGGCUUAUAAUUAAUUAGGCUGAAGGCCUUGCUAGUCUCUUCUAUUUGAGGCUAGGCCCAACGUACUAUUUGAAGGUUUUUGGUGGUUGCACACAUUCCAGGUCAUUGUCAGUUUAGAGCUUGAUGGUGUUGCUCGUUUUCGUUUCGUUUUCCCAGGGAACAGAGGACCCUGCG